RNAcentral lists this ribosomal RNA (2904 nucleotides) under Escherichia coli. RNAcentral describes it as "23S ribosomal RNA". It matches the Rfam family "Bacterial large subunit ribosomal RNA". RNAcentral also lists the same sequence under 1 other name. The record is from RNAcentral. Lineage: Bacteria; Pseudomonadati; Pseudomonadota; Gammaproteobacteria; Enterobacterales; Enterobacteriaceae.
GGUUAAGCGACUAAGCGUACACGGUGGAUGCCCUGGCAGUCAGAGGCGAUGAAGGACGUGCUAAUCUGCGAUAAGCGUCGGUGAGGUGAUAUGAACCGUUAUAACCGGCGAUUUCCGAAUGGGGAAACCCAGUGUGUUUCGACACACUAUCAUUAACUGAAUCCAUAGGUUAAUGAGGCGAACCGGGGGAACUGAAACAUCUAAGUACCCCGAGGAAAAGAAAUCAACCGAGAUUCCCCCAGUAGCGGCGAGCGAACGGGGAGGAGCCCAGAGCCUGAAUCAGUGUGUGUGUUAGUGGAAGCGUCUGGAAAGGCGCGCGAUACAGGGUGACAGCCCCGUACACAAAAAUGCACAUGCUGUGAGCUCGAUGAGUAGGGCGGGACACGUGGUAUCCUGUCUGAAUAUGGGGGGACCAUCCUCCAAGGCUAAAUACUCCUGACUGACCGAUAGUGAACCAGUACCGUGAGGGAAAGGCGAAAAGAACCCCGGCGAGGGGAGUGAAAAAGAACCUGAAACCGUGUACGUACAAGCAGUGGGAGCCUCUUAAUGGGGUGACUGCGUACCUUUUGUAUAAUGGGUCAGCGACUUAUAUUCUGUAGCAAGGUUAACCGAAUAGGGGAGCCGAAGGGAAACCGAGUCUUAACUGGGCGCUAAGUUGCAGGGUAUAGACCCGAAACCCGGUGAUCUAGCCAUGGGCAGGUUGAAGGUUGGGUAACACUAACUGGAGGACCGAACCGACUAAUGUUGAAAAAUUAGCGGAUGACUUGUGGCUGGGGGUGAAAGGCCAAUCAAACCGGGAGAUAGCUGGUUCUCCCCGAAAGCUAUUUAGGUAGCGCCUCGUGAAUUCAUCUCCGGGGGUAGAGCACUGUUUCGGCAAGGGGGUCAUCCCGACUUACCAACCCGAUGCAAACUGCGAAUACCGGAGAAUGUUAUCACGGGAGACACACGGCGGGUGCUAACGUCCGUCGUGAAGAGGGAAACAACCCAGACCGCCAGCUAAGGUCCCAAAGUCAUGGUUAAGUGGGAAACGAUGUGGGAAGGCCCAGACAGCCAGGAUGUUGGCUUAGAAGCAGCCAUCAUUUAAAGAAAGCGUAAUAGCUCACUGGUCGAGUCGGCCUGCGCGGAAGAUGUAACGGGGCUAAACCAUGCACCGAAGCUGCGGCAGCGACACUAUGUGUUGUUGGGUAGGGGAGCGUUCUGUAAGCCUGUGAAGGUGGCCUGUGAGGGUUGCUGGAGGUAUCAGAAGUGCGAAUGCUGACAUAAGUAACGAUAAAGCGGGUGAAAAGCCCGCUCGCCGGAAGACCAAGGGUUCCUGUCCAACGUUAAUCGGGGCAGGGUGAGUCGACCCCUAAGGCGAGGCCGAAAGGCGUAGUCGAUGGGAAACAGGUUAAUAUUCCUGUACUUGGUGUUACUGCGAAGGGGGGACGGAGAAGGCUAUGUUGGCCGGGCGACGGUUGUCCCGGUUUAAGCGUGUAGGCUGGUUUUCCAGGCAAAUCCGGAAAACCAAGGCUGAGGCGUGAUGACGAGGCACUACGGUGCUGAAGCGACAAAUGCCCUGCUUCCAGGAAAAGCCUCUAAGCAUCAGGUAACAUCAAAUCGUACCCCAAACCGACACAGGUGGUCAGGUAGAGAAUACCAAGGCGCUUGAGAGAACUCGGGUGAAGGAACUAGGCAAAAUGGUGCCGUAACUUCGGGAGAAGGCACGCUGAUAUGUAGGUGAAGCGACUUGCUCGUGGAGCUGAAAUCAGUCGAAGAUACCAGCUGGCUGCAACUGUUUAUUAAAAACACAGCACUGUGCAAACACGAAAGUGGACGUAUACGGUGUGACGCCUGCCCGGUGCCGGAAGGUUAAUUGAUGGGGUUAGCGGUAACGCGAAGCUCUUGAUCGAAGCCCCGGUAAACGGCGGCCGUAACUAUAACGGUCCUAAGGUAGCGAAAUUCCUUGUCGGGUAAGUUCCGACCUGCACGAAUGGCGUAAUGAUGGCCAGGCUGUCUCCACCCGAGACUCAGUGAAAUUGAACUCGCUGUGAAGAUGCAGUGUACCCGCGGCAAGACGGAAAGACCCCGUGAACCUUUACUAUAGCUUGACACUGAACAUUGAGCCUUGAUGUGUAGGAUAGGUGGGAGGCUUUGAAGUGUGGACGCCAGUCUGCAUGGAGCCGACCUUGAAAUACCACCCUUUAAUGUUUGAUGUUCUAACGUUGGCCCGUAAUCCGGGUUGCGGACAGUGUCUGGUGGGUAGUUUGACUGGGGCGGUCUCCUCCUAAAGAGUAACGGAGGAGCACGAAGGUUGGCUAAUCCUGGUCGGACAUCAGGAGGUUAGUGCAAUGGCAUAAGCCAGCUUGACUGCGAGCGUGACGGCGCGAGCAGGUGCGAAAGCAGGUCAUAGUGAUCCGGUGGUUCUGAAUGGAAGGGCCAUCGCUCAACGGAUAAAAGGUACUCCGGGGAUAACAGGCUGAUACCGCCCAAGAGUUCAUAUCGACGGCGGUGUUUGGCACCUCGAUGUCGGCUCAUCACAUCCUGGGGCUGAAGUAGGUCCCAAGGGUAUGGCUGUUCGCCAUUUAAAGUGGUACGCGAGCUGGGUUUAGAACGUCGUGAGACAGUUCGGUCCCUAUCUGCCGUGGGCGCUGGAGAACUGAGGGGGGCUGCUCCUAGUACGAGAGGACCGGAGUGGACGCAUCACUGGUGUUCGGGUUGUCAUGCCAAUGGCACUGCCCGGUAGCUAAAUGCGGAAGAGAUAAGUGCUGAAAGCAUCUAAGCACGAAACUUGCCCCGAGAUGAGUUCUCCCUGAGACUUAGAGUCUCCUGAAGGAACGUUGAAGACGACGACGUUGAUAGGCCGGGUGUGUAAGCGCAGCGAUGCGUUGAGCUAACCGGUACUAAUGAACCGUGAGGCUUAACCUU